AUUGAACGCUGGCGGCAGGCCUAACACAUGCAAGUCGAGCGAGCGGCGGACGGGUGAGUAAUGUCUGGGAAACUGCCGGAUGGAGGGGGAUAACUACUGGAAACGGUAGCUAAUACCGCAUACCAUCAGAUUUUCCCAGAUGGGAUUAGCUAGUAGGUGGGGUAAUGGCUCACCUAGGGGACGAUCCCUAGCUGGUCUGAGAGGAUGACCAGCCACACUGGAACUGAGACACGGUCCGGACUCCUACGGGAGGCAGCAGUGGGGAAUCUUGGACAAUGGGCGCAAGCCUGAUGCAGCCAUGCCGCGUGUGUGAAGAAGGCCUUCGGGUUGUAAAGCACUUUAAGCGGGGAGGCGUUACCCGCAGAGGAAGCACCGGCUAACUCCGUGCCAGCCGCCGCGGUAAUAC
Molecule: ribosomal RNA, 406 nt
Filed under: uncultured bacterium
Lineage: Bacteria
Description: partial 16S ribosomal RNA
Rfam family: Bacterial small subunit ribosomal RNA
Source: RNAcentral